This 31-nucleotide non-coding RNA is filed under the name Mus musculus (house mouse). The record is from RNAcentral. Lineage: Eukaryota; Metazoa; Chordata; Mammalia; Rodentia; Muridae. RNAcentral also lists the same sequence under 1 other name.
UUCUGUCAUAUGGUGAUAAUGGUCCCGAUCU